AGAAAAUUUACCCAAGUGUUCAUAAGAAGGGGACUGGUAAAAUAAAUUACUGUACAUCCACACAAUAAAGGCAAUACAGCCACAGGAUAAAGUAGAUCUGUAACUGUUGUUGUAGGAAAGUGUCCAGGAUGUGUCAUUAAGUGGAGAAAAAAACAAAGAACAGAAAGGAGGUCACCAAAAGCAGGGUUGGCACUAGUUGUGUUCAGUUCAUUCAGAUUCAAAGAUCAAACUCCUAGGGCCUCAGAAGGCCCAGGUUCCAGUUCCUGCUUCUGGAUCAAGGUUGUGUAUGAUGAAGGAGGAGGCUGGCCCUGAGCCCAGAGCCCAGAAUGGGAUGGGCAUUUCUCCUUCAGCUCUGCCACAGCUAUGACAAAUACCUGCAUUGGAGCCUGGAUUUCCUUCACCAGCAGAAGGAGGAUGAGGAUUAAAGCCUUGGGUAUAUUCUGGUGCCUUUCCCACUUCAUUACGCUGUCACUGACAGAGAAGUGCUCAGAAGAAAAAGCCAGAAGAGCCAUUUCAAUGGGUGUGAGUCUUUCUGGUCUUAACAUCAUCGUCCUCCUAAUUGCCGUUCUUCUGAUGAGCAAGGCACUCUUUCCUGGAAGCUUUGGCCAAGACACCUAGAGAGUACACCAUGAGAAAUGCUGGGCUGGAUGAAGCACAAGCUGGAAUCAAGAUUGCCGGGAGAAAUAUCAAUAACCUCAGAUAUGCAGAUGACACCACCCUUAUGGCAGAAAGUGAAGAACUACUAAAGGGCCUCUUGAUGAAAGUGAAAGAGGAGGGUGAAAAAGUUGGCUUAAAACUCAACAUUCAGAAAGCUAAGAUCAUGGCAUCUGGUGCCAUCACUUCAUGGCAAACAGAUGGGGAAACAGUGGAAACAGUGAGAGACUUUAAUUUUGGGGGCUCCAAAAUCAGUGCAGAUGG
Long non-coding RNA from Dama dama (fallow deer), 918 nucleotides. RefSeq lists it as uncharacterized. The transcript has 3 exons. The record is from RefSeq and is a predicted model, not a curated record. Lineage: Eukaryota; Metazoa; Chordata; Mammalia; Artiodactyla; Cervidae.